CAGAAACGUCUAUCCGAAUCAUCAGACUCUGUUCUUCAAGGAGAAUCAAAAAGAAAGGGACGUGGCCAAGAUGUGGAUACUAUCUUCAGAAGACAGAAUAUAGUCAUGUUUGGUGAAUCUACCGGAGGAAGUGCAUUGUUAAAGACGGGCUGAACUCCUCUCACUGUCAAAGAUCACAAUCCAUGUACUAUGUAUGCAUCUAAUUUGAUCAGCCUGUGUCAUCGCUGGACAAAGGAACAUGUGAAUCCUGUCAAAGGGGACGGGGCCCAGGUGUGGAUACUAUCUUCGGAAGACCAAAUAUACUCUUGCCUGGUGAAUCUAAUAGCGGAAAUGCACUGUUAGGUACAUGUCAGGUCAUAAACAUAAAGGACGUGCCACAAAUAAUAAUACAAUUUCAGAAAGACAGAUAUACAUCCUUCCGAUGAUACUGAAAAAGAAAAUCCAUAAAUGAACGCGUCUUCCCUCCCUUCUAGCCAAAACUCUUCCGGUACG
This is a long non-coding RNA of Daucus carota subsp. sativus, 492 nucleotides long. RefSeq lists it as uncharacterized. NCBI's taxonomy places the organism in Eukaryota, Viridiplantae, Streptophyta, Magnoliopsida, Apiales, Apiaceae. The transcript is spliced from 6 exons. The record is from RefSeq and is a predicted model, not a curated record.